GACGAACGCUGGCGGCGUGCUUAACACAUGCAAGUCGAACGGAAAGGCCCUGCUUUCGUGGGGUGCUCGAGUGGCGAACGGGUGAGUAACACGUGAGUAACCUGCCCUUGACUUUGGGAUAACUUCAGGAAACUGGGGCUAAUACCGGAUAGCAGCUCCCGCUGCAUGGUGGGGGUUGGAACGUUUCGGCGGUUGGGGAUGGACUCGCGGCUUAUCAGCUUGUUGGUGGGGUAGUGGCUUACCAAGGGUUUGACGGGUAGCCGGCCUGAGAGGGUGACCGGCGACAUUGGGACUGAGAUACGGCCCAGACUCCUACGGGAGGCAGCGGUGGGGAAUAUUGCACAAUGGGCGGAAGCCUGAGGCAGCGACGCCGCGUUCGGGAUGACGGCCUGCUGGUUGUAAACCGCUUUCGCCUGUGACGAAGCGUGAGUGACGGUAAUGAGUAAAGAAGCACCGGCUAACUACGUG
Molecule: ribosomal RNA, 468 nt
Filed under: uncultured bacterium
Lineage: Bacteria
Description: partial 16S ribosomal RNA
Rfam family: Bacterial small subunit ribosomal RNA
Source: RNAcentral